AUUGAACGCUGGCGGAAUGCUUUACACAUGCAAGUCGAGCGGCAGCGCGGCCUUCGGGCUGGCGGCGAGCGGCGAACGGGUGAGUAAUGCAUCGGAACAUGCCCAGUCGUGGGGGAUAACACUUCGAAAGAAGUGCUAAUACCGCAUACGUCCUGAGGGGGAAAGCGGGGGAUCGCAAGACCUCGCGCGAUUGGAGUGGCCGAUGUCAGAUUAGCUAGUUGGUGGGGUAAAGGCCUACCAAGGCGACGAUCUGUAGCUGGCCUGAGAGGAUGAUCAGCCACACUGGGACUGAGACACGGCCCAGACUCCUACGGGAGGCAGCAGUGGGGAAUUUUGGACAAUGGGGGCAACCCUGAUCCAGCCAUUCCGCGUGAGUGAAGAAGGCCUUCGGGUUGUAAAGCUCUUUCGGCAGGAACGAAACGGUGGGCUCUAACAUAGUCCGCUAAUGACGGUACCUGAAGAAGAAGCACCGGCUAACUACGUG
This 484-nucleotide ribosomal RNA is filed under the name uncultured bacterium. Its description in RNAcentral is "partial 16S ribosomal RNA". It matches the Rfam family "Bacterial small subunit ribosomal RNA", at positions 29 to 507 of the family's 1533-position model. The record is from RNAcentral.